ACUUAUCUGAAAUUAUUCAAAAUGACAUAAUAAUUUUUCAUGUUAUAUAUAUUUCCUUUCUAUAUUCUUAUAAAUCACGAAAAUUUCUUCAAAUAUUCUUUUCAAUCGAUCGAUAAUAUUUUAUUCUCAUUUUUUAUGGAAGAUAUCAUAGAUUAUAUAAAAUGCGAUCAAGUUAAGCCGUUGUUGACGCGUAGAAUCAGUCCAAUAAUUACCAGCACCGUUUUAAGCCUGUGACAAUUUCCUUCGAUUAACCGAUGACGUAACCCCGCGUUUCUUCGCUUGGAAAAGUUGUUAACCGUGUAUUACGUCUUUCAUAAGCUAAUGCCGCGGACCUUUAACGGUGUUAUUGCGUCUUUUGUCAAGCGAGUUCGGGGACAAAAGCGGCCAUAUCUGCCGAGGUCUUCGUUUACGUCACGUUUUGUUAAAAAUCUUAUUUUUUUUUUUUCCUUCACAGUUCUUCGACAAUUUGUUCACCGGUAUAUAUGCUUUUGUUUCGAUUUGGUACGUUAGACGGGUAUCUUUCUCGGCGAAUUGAAUACUGUUCCGUGGAAUUGUUGGAUUCAUUUCAGUCUUCGAGACACGUGUUCAACAGAUGUUAACUAAGAGAGAUGGUAUAACGGUAAAGGAUUCCAAGUUUGGUGCGAUGUGACGCGAAGAAAAUGAUUUCGAGAAGAAGUUUCAUUUCUUCUCUGAACUCUAUUCUAUUAAAUUACUAUCGGUUUUAUGGGUAUUGAUUUUUACAUAUAAGGAGAACUCAGGAGGAAUCCAAAAGAGGCCAGAGCCUUUCGUGUCUCGAAGGAACUCGACGCAGGUGCGAAACGAUGGACACGUGCACGUGCAACUAUAAAAUUUUUAUAUCUCUAAGGCGACAGGGAAAUGAUUUAUUUUUCUUCGUUUUGAAAUCUUUCGUUAUUUUUAUUAAGAAAAUUUUAAACAAAAGUAUUUUUUACAGAAGAUUGUAAAAUAAUUAUUUGUAUAAUUGUUGGUAAUUUUUAUGAAUAUUUAUAUCAUUUCAUAAUUUCACAAUAGAUUAGAAGAAUUUUUUAGAAGAAUAAAAUUUUUAAAAUUACGAAAAAUUUCUAUUUAUAAAAAAUUGUAGAUUUUAUACGCAAUUUUUUGAUAAUUUGAAACAAUUUAAAGAUUUUCUAUAAAAUUAUGAAUAAUCUGCUGAUAUAUAUUUUUUUAUGUACAAAAAGAUUGAACGUAAUUCCAUCUUAAUAUUCCAUUUUAUCAUAGAGUUAAAAAUCUUUAUUCAUUUCAUCUUUUAAUAUUUUUUUAAAAAAGUUAAAAAUUCGAUAAUUAAAACAUCAAUUUAAUAUCCUCUCUUAAUUUUCCUUCAUCGUUUUUUCCUUUCCAAUUUAAAAAUUCACCAAUAUCAUUACUAAUUAAAACUAUUAUAAUUAUUCUAGCAAUAAUAUAAUAUAUCGUAUAUAAUAUUAUCACAUAAUUAUUUGAUCAUUAUUAUCACGUAAUUAUUAAUUUGGCAAAUUAGAUAAAUGUUUGAAAUUUGAAAAGUUAAAAAAAAUUCCACGUUAUAAAUUUUUCUUUACUUCCUUUAUUAUUCCACGAAACUAAAAAUGUAGAAACUUUAUAAAGAUGUCAUUGUUCGAUAUUAUACAUUUAUGAAGAUAUCCUCGAUGUUUAUAGGUCGAUUCAUCUAUAAUCCACGGUUGGAAAAUUCUCGCCGGAAACCUCGCUAUCAUAAAUUUGUCACUGUUGUUGGGAGGGUGUUUUCCUCGUAGAUCAUUUUUGUUUCGUUAGCUGGAAUCUUGCAGGGUGUUUGCGGGAUUCUGGAAAAAUAUCGCGGAUACUUAUCGCAUCUUCCUCUACGAGGCUUAUUUAUGUAUCUCAAGGGUGAGGCAAUUUGUAAAUUUAAAAGUGUCCAACUCUUGAAAUAUCGCAUACGAUGCGAAGUAACGAUUUGCGAGAUAAAUAGUUUUAGAAUUAUGUGUAAAAAGGAGAUAAAGAAUCGUAGAUUUUGUCGAUUUAACGUAAGAAAUAAAAAUAAAAUUGAGAAUCUUAUUAACUAUGGUUACUUUUAUUAUUUAUUUUAAGAAUUUCUUUUAAUCUAUUUUUAUUAUUAUCAUUUUUUUCGAUAUGCAAUUAGAUUUUUAAAAAAUUGUUGUAAACCUUGAAUUUAUUUGAAAAUUUUUUCUACAAAAGAUUAUUUAUUUGAAAAAUAUAUUGAAAUCCUUGAAAUAUUUGAUCAAAAAUUUUUGUAAUUUAUUUAAAAAUUUUUUAUUCUUUUAUUUAUUUAUUUUUCAGUUAUUAAUUAAAAUUCUAAUUCGUAUAAUAUUAUAUGAAAGAUAGAAAGAUUCAUUAGUUUCUGUAAUCACUGUACAAAAUUGCCAAAGUUUAAUGAAACACUAAAGUUAUAUUGUAAAAUAUUGAUGAUAAACAAUAUUCAUGUUGAUGUUAUCUUUGGAGGAAAUCCUGUUACAGUUAUAAAUAUCUUUAGACAUGAUUUAAUCACGAAUAGUUUACUAUGCUAUCCUUGAUCACUAUAAAGUUCUUAGUAACAUGAAACAACUUUGUUAUUUUAUUAUAUUUUGUAUCCUUUAAGUAUAUAUGAUAUGAUUUUUUUCAUAAAAACGAAUAAUUUAUCAUUUGUUAAAAUUACAGAGAAUAAAAAAUUCUAAUUAAAUAAUUUAUUUUCAAAGCCAAAAAUUGUACAUGUGUUUUCAUCAUUAUUAUUCAUAGAAUCAUUAAGUUACUAAAAUUAUCAAAUAUUUUUUCCUGUAAUAAUAAAAACUUUUCAUUAUUCUUAAAAAUAUUAAAUAAUGUUAUCUUAUUUUUGCUAUCAUUUUUUAUUUCCUGGAAAUUAUUUUUUUCUAUAAGAUAAUGAAAUAACAUUACAAAGUAUUUAUUACAUCUGUUAGAAUGAAUUAAACUUUAUAUCUUAUUUGAUUUACAACUAUCUUUUUUUAAACUAAUAAAAAUAAAACUUACAAUUAUAGAGGAAAAAUAAUAUUUUUAUUUUUGUUUUUUUUUUAUUAUCUAGUGAUUAAAAGGAUAUGCUAUCAAUGUCAUACCAAAAUAAAAAAAAAUUUAACAAAUUUCAAAGUAUAAUUUUGUUUAUAGAUGUAUUAAAUAUCAUUAAAUAUCAUUUUAUCAAUUACAGAUAUAAGUUUAAAUUUAAAACUACUUUUCUACAAAAAUUGGAAAAUGUAAUUUUCCUCCUCUUUUGUACUUUUCAAAUGUAUAUGUAUGUAUGGUUUACAAAUACAUUUAAACAAUAUUUAAACAGAA
This is a long non-coding RNA of Apis cerana (Asiatic honeybee), 3249 nucleotides long. RefSeq lists it as uncharacterized. Lineage: Eukaryota; Metazoa; Arthropoda; Insecta; Hymenoptera; Apidae. The record is from RefSeq and is a predicted model, not a curated record.